Molecule: ribosomal RNA, 468 nt
Filed under: uncultured bacterium
Lineage: Bacteria
Description: partial 16S ribosomal RNA
Rfam family: Bacterial small subunit ribosomal RNA
Source: RNAcentral
GACGAACGCUGGCGGCGUGCUUAACACAUGCAAGGCGAACGGAAAGGCCGUGCGGUGGUGGGGUGCUCGAGUGGCGGAGGGGUGGGUAGCACGUGAGUAACCUGCCGUUGACUUCGGGAUACCUUCGGGAAACUGGGGCUCAUACCGGAUAGGAGCUCCUGCUGCAUGGUGGGGGUUGGAAAGUUUCGGCGGUUGGGGAUGGACUCGCGGCUUAUCAGCUUGUUGGUGGGGUAGUGGCUUACCAAGGCUUUGACGGGUAGCCGGCCUGAGAGGGUGCACGGCCACAUGCGGACUGAGAGCGGGCCCAGACUAGUACGGGAGGCAGCACUGGGGAAUAUUGCACAAUGGGCGGAAGACAGAUGCAGGAACGCCGCGUGCCGGAUGACGGCCUUCGGGUUGCAAACCGCUUUCGCCUGUGACGAAGCGUGAGUGACGGUAAUGGGUAAAGAAGCACCGGCUAACUACGUG